GAUGAACGCUGGCGGCGUGCCUAAUACAUGCAAGUCGAGCGAACAGACGAGGAGCUUGCUCCUCUGACGUUAGCGGCGGACGGGUGAGUAACACGUGGAUAACCUACCUAUAAGACUGGGAUAACUCCGGGAAACCGGAGCUAAUACCGGAUAAUAUAUUGAACCGCAUGGUUCAAUAGUGAAAGACGGUUUUGCUGUCACUUAUAGAUGGAUCCGCGCCGCAUUAGCUAGUUGGUAAGGUAACGGCUUACCAAGGCAACGAUGCGUAGCCGACCUGGGAGGGGGAUCGGCCAAACUGGAACUGAGACACGGUCCAGACUCCUACGGGAGGCAGCAGUAGGGAAUCUUCCGCAAUGAGCGAAAGCCUAACGGAGCAACGCCGCGUGAGUGAUGAAGGUCUUCGGAUCGUAAAACUCUGUUAUUAGGGAAGAACAAAUGUGUAAGUAACUAUGCACGUCUUGACGGUACCUAAUCAGAAAGCCACGGCUAACUACGUGCCAGCAGCCGCGGUAA
This 513-nucleotide ribosomal RNA is filed under the name uncultured bacterium. RNAcentral's name for it is "partial 16S ribosomal RNA". It matches the Rfam family "Bacterial small subunit ribosomal RNA", at positions 28 to 523 of the family's 1533-position model. The record is from RNAcentral.